RNAcentral lists this ribosomal RNA (253 nucleotides) under uncultured bacterium. RNAcentral's name for it is "partial 16S ribosomal RNA". It matches the Rfam family "Bacterial small subunit ribosomal RNA", at positions 524 to 776 of the family's 1533-position model. The record is from RNAcentral.
UACGUAGGGUGCAAGCGUUGUCCGGAAUUAUUGGGCGUAAAGAGCUCGUAGGCGGUUUGUCGCGUCGGAUGUGAAAGCCCGGGGCUUAACCCCGGGUCUGCAUUCGAUACGGGCAGACUGGAGUGUGGUAGGGGAGAUCGGAAUUCCUGGUGUAGCGGUGAAAUGCGCAGAUAUCAGGAGGAACACCGAUGGCGAAGGCAGGUCACUGGGCCGCAACUGACGCUGAGGAGCGAAAGCAUGGGGAGCGAACAGG